This 765-nucleotide ribosomal RNA is filed under the name Austrochloritis nambucca. RNAcentral describes it as "partial large subunit ribosomal RNA". The record is from RNAcentral. Lineage: Eukaryota; Metazoa; Mollusca; Gastropoda; Stylommatophora; Camaenidae.
UAAACUAAAAUAUUUGAUAAAUUAUUAGAACACGAAGUUAAAGGAGCUAGUUAUUAUAUAUUUAUAGAUGAUGUGAUGUUGCAAAAUUGUCAAGUAAUAAUUAGGGGUGAUAGGCUUACCACAUUUAACGAUAGCUUGAUGGUCAAGAAAUGUACUAGUACAAAGACACUCUUCAAGUGAUAAGGUUUCAAGAGGAAAACGAAUAAGUGAUUUUGGAUUUAUAUCAUAUUUAACCAUACAUAUGUAUUUAAUUUAACAUUAAUUUAUAAAAGUUGUUUUUAUUAGUGACCAAUCUUUUAACUUAACUCGAAUCUAUAAUGUUUAUAUUAGUAAUUAAAGAAGUAUUAAUAAUGAACUCGGCAAUAAGUCUUCCAACUGUUUAUCAAAAACAUAGCCAUAUGAAAUAAUAUAUGGUCAUUUCUGCUCAAUGAACAUUAAAUAGCCGCAGUACCCUGACUGUGCUAAGGUAGCGCAAUCAAUUGUCUUUUAAAUGAAGUCCAGUAUGAAAGAAACUAUGGAGGGCUACUUUUUCCUUGAUAAUUAUUGAACUUACUUAAAAAGUGCAAAUUCUUUAGGUAAAAUAAAAGACGAGAAGACCCUAGAAAUUUUAAGGGGUAACUUUUUGUUGGGGCAACAAAGUAGUAAUUAAUCUACUGUAACAACACGGAAAUGAUAUUUAGCAAGACUAAAUUACUCUAGGGAUAACAGCAUAAUUUGUGAAAGUUUGUGACCUCGAUGUUGGAUUAAGGAAUUUCCAUUUAGAAG